This is a non-coding RNA of Globicephala melas (long-finned pilot whale), 3642 nucleotides long. Lineage: Eukaryota; Metazoa; Chordata; Mammalia; Artiodactyla; Delphinidae. The record is from RefSeq and is a predicted model, not a curated record.
CUAACUGGUCCAGUGCUUUGCAAACCAUCGCUCAGAACGCUGGGCCCCAGGAUAUGUCUCCAGGGCACGGGGGUCCGGGGGGCAGAGGGCUGUGGAUGAGGGAGCGUUGUGCCCCUGCCCCACUUCAACAGGUCAGCUCUACUUGUCUCUGUGUCACACCUUGAGGUCUGGUAGAAGCUCUAUUCAACCAGAGGCCCCCCGAAAUUUUUUUAGGAAAAACAGAAACUAAAAAAUAUAUAUAUGUAGUUCAACCGGGUAGCCAUCUUACAAGAAGUGCCUGUCCAAACGUAUUUGUAAGGCCCUUAAAGCACAUCCCGCAGUAUCCAAUCCAGAGCAGUCCCCCACUGCAAAGAGUCAUCGGGUCCAAGUGGCCCCUUUGUCCAGGGAAAGAGCAGGAGGGUGGGAAUCAGUGCCAGGCCUUAGCUCGGCUCUGCCACGAACAGGUCGUGUAACUUACACCAAGUGCUUUCCCUCCCUAGACUCUGCAGCUCAUUUACAAGUGCAAGUGGGGGGUGGCCCCCCUUGGGAAGGCUGGGCUGCACAGUGGUUAGGGGGCGUCCCGGGUGAGCCUGAUGGGGGCGGGGGCCGCUGGGAGAGGCGCACCAGGGCAGGAGUGCCAAGUGCUGGGCGCCCCGGUCUCCGGCGAGCCUGUGGAUCUGGGAGGCCCACUCCAGCUCUGUCACUGAGAGACUGACUCAGCUGGCAGCCGUAGGGCCCGGUUGCCGGGGGAAAUGCUGUCGGCACAUUUAUUCUGGGUUUGGAUAUUUAAAGAGCUGGGUGUGUGGCACGACAUUUCGGAAGUGCUUGGGGAGGGAGGGGUUGCGGACCAGGGCUUUUUUUUUAACCGUUAGAGAUAUCCUGUCCUGAUCUCUCGGGUCCACAAAGAGUGAUUUUCUUCCCUAAGAAUCGGACGUGGGUUCUGCCCAUUGUGUCUACCUGGCUGUGCAGCCUGGCAGGAAGCAGGUGGCCCAAGGUGGGACCUGGCUGCCGUGGGUCCCCAUCCCAGUGCCACCCUGCCCCCUGGACGAGAAGCCUGGCAGUGGCCCCCGAGAUGCAUAUGGAGAAAUCUUCCAGAACUGAGGCCCCCGUCAGCAAAUUGCACCUGUGGUGCAGUGAGUGGCACAGGAGUUCGCACGUUUUUCUGUAACAGACCUGAGAGUAGAGGCAGGUGAUGUGAUCCGAGGUGCAAGCGCAGUCCUGCCUCCCAACCAGGUGAGUUUCUUGGCUGCCCUGGGCCUCAAUUUCCUCACCUCUAAAGGGUGGACGCUGAUGCUACCUACCUCACAGGUACAUUUUGAAGGUCAGGUGUAGGUGAAAUGAUGCAUUAGAAGCCCAGUGAAGGCCCAGGGAUGGGAACAAUUGUGGCUUUACAGUAUAAUCCUACAAAUUCUAGAAGUUACAGGAUUAUAGGCUGAAUUAUGUCCCCAAAACAUUCAUCUGUUGACGUCCUAACCCCUAGGAGCUCAGAAUGUGAAAGGAUUUGGAGACAGGGGUCUUUACAAGGGUAAUUACAUGAAAAUGAAGUCCCUAGGGUGGACCCUAAUCCCAUGUGACUGGUGUCCUUAAAAGAAGAGUUGGUUAGGAUGCAGACGCACAUGGAGGGAAGACCACCUGAGGACACAGGGAGAAGACGGCAUCUCCAAGCCAAGGAGGGAGCCUCGAAAGGAACCAUCCCUGCCGACACCCUGACCUUGGACUUCCAGCCUCCGAACGGUGAGAAAAUAACUUCUGUUGUUUAAGCCUCCAGCCCUUGGUCCUCUGUGAUGGCCGCCCACGUGAACUGACCACAGGUCCUUAACUGGAAUAUCGGUGUCACCGUUGUUCAUUGUCUGAAUCUCCACCCUGAGGUCCUUACCAUCUAAGCACGCUGCUGAGAGAGCUCGUCUGAGCAGGACACGGCCCCGGCCCCCUUCCCACUCCUGGAGCCCCUCAUCUUCCCAGGGGCCCUGCUCUCCUUCUUCCCAGGACCGUCUCUCCCAGGUGACGGCUCUCGACGCCCCUGGAGGGAAUUUGCUCCUUGCCCUUUCGGGAGCCUCACUCCGCCGUUUCCCGCCCAAGAUGUCCCUCUGGAGGGCACAUCUGCCCUUCAAUGAGGUGGAUUUAAAACUCUCCAAAUACCAACAGGAGACUGUGUUCGAGCCUGCUCCACUGGGAUCACCAACACGAUGGUCUCUUAGGCUUGUGGGAUCUUAGCUCCCUGACCAGGGAUUGAACUCGGGCCCCGGCAGUGAAAGCUCUGAGUCCUAACCACUGGACCACCAGGGAAUUCCCAGCAAAAUUUUAAGUCUAUAAUCCAUCAUUGUUUUUUUAAAUUUAUUUUAAUUUUUAUUGACGUAGAGUUGAUUUACAAUGUUGUGUUACUUUCUGCUGUACAACAAAGUGCUUCAGUUAUAUAUAUAUAUUCUUUUCCAUUAUGGUCUGUUAUAGGAUAUUGGAUAUAGUUCCCUGUGCUCUACAGUAGGUCCUUGUUGUUGUUUAUCUAUUUUUAUCUAUAGUAGUUUGUAUCUGUUAAUCUCAAAUUCCUAAUUUACUCCUCCACCACCCCCCUCCCCCUCGGCAACCACAAGUCUGUUCUCUAUGUCUGUAAGUCUGUCUCUGUUCCGUAAAUAAAGUCAUUGGUGUCGACACGUAUCGUGUAUCAUGUAAGUGACAUCAUCUGGUUGUAAUCCACGACUGCUGACUAUUGGUACAGUGUCGUACAGCAGAUACUUAGAGCUCGUUCAUCUCAUUUGACUGAAACUUUAUGCCUAUCGAUCAGUAAUUCCCCAUAAUUCCCCUCUCUUUCCAGUCCCUGGCAACCAGCAUUGCACUCUGAUUCUAUGAAUGUGACCUUUUAAUUUCAGAUACCUCAUGUAAGUGGAACCAUGUCUUUCUGUGACUUGCUUAUUCACUGAGAGUAAUGUCCUCAAGGUUCACCCAUGUUGUCCCAUUUUGCACAAUUUCUUUCUUUUUAAGGUUUGAAUGGUGUUCCAUCGUACUCCUCUAUCAUAUUUCUUUAUCUGUUCACCUAUCGAUGGACAUUUAGGUCGCUUCCGCAUCUUGACUAUUGUGAGUGACGUCAUAAUGAAUACAGGAGUGCUAAUACCUCUUUGAGAUCCUGAAUUCAAUUCAUUUGGAUAAAUACCCAUUAGUGGGAUUGCAGGGUAGGAUUCUGAAGAUACAGAGAGGAGAUCCCUGGAGCUGUGCCUGCAGUGCUUCCUCAGGUUACAAAGGCACCGCUAGCCCUGCGCUGGGAGCACAGGAAAGUGGUUGGGGGUGAGGUUAUUUUUGUCUUGCAAACUGCAGGCCAGGUCUUUCUCCUGGGCCAGGGAGUUAACCAGUGCACCUCGUCUGCUAAGUCAUCCCCUGUUUUCUCAGGAGACAGUCUUAUAAAUCUGGCUAAUAACUCCCAUUUCAUUUCCCCAAACUCCGUUAGAGGCAAGUUAUAAUGAAGCUCAAAUACUCGCCAGGUUAUUCACGGGAAAGACCUUUGGCUUUUAAAAAAUGCAUUUUAGGUGGCCAGAUUAAUCUAGCGGCACAUUACAGUGCAGCCCUGCUGAAGUUCUGCGGGAGAUCCCUGGCACCCGGCAUUGUACCUUGCACAGUGCUGCCAGGAGCGUGAACUAUCUUUACAGGAAGAGGCGAGAAUUAAUAUGUCAGAUG